This is a long non-coding RNA of Mesocricetus auratus (golden hamster), 924 nucleotides long. RefSeq lists it as uncharacterized. Lineage: Eukaryota; Metazoa; Chordata; Mammalia; Rodentia; Cricetidae. The record is from RefSeq and is a predicted model, not a curated record. The transcript has 2 exons.
UCGGCAAGGCACGAUUCCUGCCGCCAGGAACCAGUACCUUCUACCUGCCGGAAAAGAACAAAGAUCGGUGGCUGACAGACAUUUGGUGAGAUGCAUGGAGCAGCGAAAAACUGGACUUGAAACUGUGGGAGCCUGUCCAAGACAGCUCCAGUGAAACAUGCUAAAGCAGUGUUCCUGACUCUGCAUAACCUCCGCCCCCAAGUUUCCAAAUUCCCUCGACCCAUUCCAACUAUGAAACCUCACUCUCUUCCCGCACUUCUCUCUCCAUUUAUCUGAUCCCUGAGAAUGAUGCAUGGUGGGCCUGUCAGGAUAGCCUUAAGUUCUGUGUAUUCAUGCCCUUUCUGAUAACUGACCCCAAGUUCUGCAUCCUGGUAAACGUUAUCCUUCACCUUAUUUACUACUCUGCUCAGGACUUCUACCAGCUGUGGGAAGGCAACGAGACCCGUUCUACCCUUUGAGUAAAAAGAGAGCCAGGUUCCACUGUAAACUUAGCUGUACUCCUGGGACUGGGGGCAGGUGGCACAGGCACUUUAUUGCCUCCUUCAUGCUUUCCAACCAACACUAUUCUGAAUUGCAUGCCACCAUUGAUGAUGAUGUCCAUUUUCCAGAGAUAGGGAUCACUAAUCUAGAAAAAUAAUUAGUCUCACUAUCAGAAGUAGUUCUGCAAAAUAGACUAGGCCUAGACCUCUUGUUCUUACAACAAGGUGGCCUUUGUGCUGCCCUUAAAGAGAUGCAAGGAGCAACCGUUAUAUAAACUUUAAAGGCUGACAAGAGCCCACACAAACAGUCCAUUCAGCCUUCUCCCACAGGAAGAUAGCUUAGAGAAAGAAUAUCCUGUGGUAAUGAGUGAUGUCCUGAUAAGAAGAACCUGGCUCACACGAAUAGCUGAUAGCAAUCUGUAGUUAGGUUAAUUAAUAACCCUUC